RNAcentral lists this ribosomal RNA (474 nucleotides) under uncultured organism. RNAcentral's name for it is "partial 16S ribosomal RNA". It matches the Rfam family "Bacterial small subunit ribosomal RNA", at positions 332 to 797 of the family's 1533-position model. The record is from RNAcentral.
UACACUCCUACGGGAGGCAGCAGUGGGGAAUAUUGCACAAUGGGCGCAAGCCUGAUGCAGCCAUGCCGCGUGUAUGAAGAAGGCCUUCGGGUUGUAAAGUACUUUCAGCGGGGAGGAAGGCGAUAAGGUUAAUAACCUUGUUGAUUGACGUUACCCGCAGAAGAAGCACCGGCUAACUCCGUGCCAGCAGCCGCGGUAAUACGGAGGGUGCAAGCGUUAAUCGGAAUUACUGGGCGUAAAGCGCACGCAGGCGGUCUGUCAAGUCGGAUGUGAAAUCCCCGGGCUCAACCUGGGAACUGCAUUCGAAACUGGCAGGCUAGAGUCUUGUAGAGGGGGGUAGAAUUCCAGGUGUAGCGGUGAAAUGCGUAGAGAUCUGGAGGAAUACCGGUGGCGAAGGCGGCCCCCUGGACAAAGACUGACGCUCAGGUGCGAAAGCGUGGGGAGCAAACAGGAUUAGAAACCCCUGUAGUCCCA